GUGUAGCUCUGCCAAUAAGAAAUUAGUAUGUGUCCUUAAAAGUGCCCUUUUACGUAAUAAAGAACUCAAAGAGCAAAUAACACACUAAGGAAUGCAUAAGAUAAAUAUGUAUUUUUAAAAAAAUGCCAUGAAAGGUGUUCCCUUUUCUCCAAAAAAUUUCCAGUUUCUGAGAUAUCUCAUCCAUCUCCCAUUUACCCCUACAGCUGAAUUACUAAUUAUGUCCUUAUGAAAGAAUCAAUAUAUUUCCAUGCUUAGGAAUUCGUAAUGCAAAGGAAAAGAGCAUGUUUGUGAAUCCUGCUUACUUGAAAAAAAAAUUAAAUGAAAGGCACGAAAACAGGCAAAUAUAAACCACCAGUUGGCUUCCAUUCAGCUGUGUGACCAGAUUUAAUUCAAUAUCCUUUGAUCAAUAUAUCUGGAAUGCUUGCAUUGAGCAUAUAUGCUGAACAGCCACAACAUUAAAAUCACCUUCUUGCUGUGUGGACUCCACAAGACCUCUGAAAAUGUCCUGUGGUAUCUGACACCAAGACAUUAGCAGCAGAUCGUUUAAGUCCUGCAAGUUGCAAGGUGGGGCCUAAAUGCUCAAUCGUAUUGAAAAUUGGAGAAUUUGGAGGCCAAGGCAACAUCUUGAACUCUUU
Non-coding RNA from Pelobates cultripes (western spadefoot toad), 635 nucleotides. The record is from the annotation of a GenBank genome assembly. NCBI's taxonomy places the organism in Eukaryota, Metazoa, Chordata, Amphibia, Anura, Pelobatidae.